Molecule: long non-coding RNA, 1246 nt
Filed under: Sorghum bicolor (sorghum)
Lineage: Eukaryota; Viridiplantae; Streptophyta; Magnoliopsida; Poales; Poaceae
Description: long non-coding RNA (SBIC_LNC006914)
Source: RNAcentral
CUUCAUUAAUGGCAUUUUUUCAGUAGAAAUGAACAGGAGAAUUAAAAAACUUCUAGCUGACGGAAGCAAUGAGAGCAUCCCAGCAGUUUGCAUUUGUGAUUGAUAGGAAUUCAUGCUCCAAAAUGAAGUACUGUCGAGGAUACCAACGAGGGGUACCCUCACCAAUGCGUAUAACGAAACCAUCCGUACACACGGGCGACCGUCGACGGCCGCAGCCUCGAAGACGGAAUUACCGUCGAGCGAGUCGGCCAGGGCUCGAGCAGCAACUGCCGUCGAAUACGGAAGCAGGGCUCGAGCGAACCGAGGGACGUCGAGCGCAGGGACACUGCCCGCCGCCUGACGCGCGCACGCGGGUCGGAGCAUUUAAUGCACCUGACGCUUCCCCACCUAACACAUGGGCCACGGGAGGCUUCCGUCCCAUCGUUCUUUUUGCAGCCUUCCCACCGAACGGCCCAGGGCGUGCCAGGACGCGGGAAACAAGGAUGGAACGUCUAAUCGGGACCCCCUCGAGACACCCAGGGUCAGCGCUCCAGACAUCGACACCUCGUACGGCGUCCGAUCCUCGACUUCACCAGGCUCCUUCCUGGAGACGAGUCGGACGUCGACUGACCACGUCGUAACCACUCCGCCGGGUUUGCCGCCGGGUCAUAUAAGCGUGCAUCCACCGAACCAAUCCAAGACGGCGCGCAGAGCAGAGUGCAGGGGCACGCGUGAUCAUCACCAAGCUAUUAAGACGGGACGGCUCGAGGUCGUGCCGGUACGGAAGCCUCGAGUAGGUCAGCGCUCCAUGCGGCUAUCGACUCCAAUCCCUACACCUAUACAUGUACCCUAGGACCUUCCUUGGAACUAUAAAAGGAGGGACUCAGGAAUAGAAGAGGGGACAACACAGGACCACGCUCAUACGUAGAAGAGCUCCACACUUCAUACCACGCUUGUAUUCGCCCCUGUACAAGCACUUAGGUGCAAGAUAAUACAAACUCUCUCCCCCCGCUGGACGUAGGGCCUUCUCUUGCCCGAACCAGGAUAAACCUUUGUGUCUUCUUGCAUCACCAUCCGGGAAAGGGAGCACGCAUACAAAUUUACUCGUUGGUGUGACCCCCCGGGGGAAAAACACCGACAAGUACUAAUUGGUAUACUUGGAAGAGGCAGUUGAAUCUGUGACAAAGUUUGUUGGCAAAUGGCUGAAAAAGGUUAUCGAUAGUGUCUGGCUGCCUGCAAAUGAUAUUUUAAAGGAUUGUCAAGGUAC